GAUGAACGCUGGCGGCGUGCCUAAUACAUGCAAGUCGAGCGAACGGACGAGGAGCUUGCUCCUCUGACGUUAGCGGCGGACGGGUGAGUAACACGUGGAUAACCUACCUAUAAGACUGGGAUAACUUCGGGAAACCGGAGCUAAUACCGGAUAACAUGUUGAACCGCAUGGUUUAACAGUGAAAGACGGUCUUGCUGUCACUUAUAGAUGGAUCCGCGCCGCAUUAGCUAGUUGGUAAGGUAACGGCUUACCAAGGCAACGAUGCGUAGCCGACCUGAGAGGGUGAUCGGCCACACUGGAACUGAGACACGGUCCAGACUCCUACGGGAGGCAGCAGUAGGGAAUCUUCCGCAAUGGGCGAAAGCCUGACGGAGCAACGCCGCGUGAGUGAAGAAGGUCUUCGGAUCGUAAAACUCUGUUAUUAGGGAAGAACAAAUGUGUAAGUAACUAUGCACGUCUUGACGGUACCUAAUCAGAAAGCCACGGCUAACUACGUG
Molecule: ribosomal RNA, 497 nt
Filed under: uncultured bacterium
Lineage: Bacteria
Description: partial 16S ribosomal RNA
Rfam family: Bacterial small subunit ribosomal RNA
Source: RNAcentral